Choloepus didactylus (southern two-toed sloth) is the source of this 7161-nucleotide long non-coding RNA. RefSeq lists it as uncharacterized. The transcript has 5 exons. Lineage: Eukaryota; Metazoa; Chordata; Mammalia; Pilosa; Megalonychidae. The record is from RefSeq and is a predicted model, not a curated record.
UUGAGAAGUUGCUUCAGGGACAAAAAAAUAAGAGCCCAGAGAAACUAAGGGGCCGGAGUCCGACUUUGAAACCACAGAGUUUACUACAGUGUUUGUGUCUAAUCACAAAAGCAAACCACUGGGUGAGGAGAGACGGGGAAGGCGGCAAACAAAGGCUGGAAGCUAAAGUGACAAAACUGGGGCUGGAUGCUCACGUGUACGCUGCACGGUCCUUGUGAAGAUCUGCUCAUCUUGACGUCUUGUCCCUCAAGAGAAGCCGCCUUCCCGGGCUUGCAGGAUGGGCUCUCUUGCUUCCUCCACCGGCCACGUGGCUGCCUGAGAAUGUUCUUCUGUAGCUGAGCUGUGCAGUGGAUUUGCUUGUCCGGCCUGGAGAUGCACCAGGGUCAGCUUUAUGUCUCCGACCAGAACUACCCAGCUCCCCUCUGAUGGAAACCACAGGGGCUCAGUGGUGCUGGUAGCCAUCCUGGGAUGCCUGUAGACAAGGGCAAGGAGAAGCACGAAGGGCUCAAGCUCCUGUGGGAUGGAGGAUGGAGCUGAGCUGAGCUGAGCACACCCAGUUCCUGCUUCCACGUUCACCUUUCAGAUGAAGCCACGCUUCCUCCAGGAAGGAGCCGGUGAGGGCCAGAGAGAGACGGGGACGUCUGCUAAUGAGGCUCCCGCCAAGGGGAAGGUGACACAGCAGUGGGAAAGAGAGAAGUCCUGCACGGGGGAAGAAACUGAGGCACAGAUCUGUGACGUGCCCGUUCAAGGUGCAUGUUUCCAGAGUGGCAGCACCGGGCCGGAUUCCAGUCCUGAGACCCAGCCCAUGGGAGCCCGUGGAUCCGGAAACGUCCAUUAGUAACCUCUCAGCUUCAUCCCCGAAGAUAAAGCUUUAUUUACACAGGCUGCUGUCAGGAAGCGUGAGUAUACUUCUAGGCUGCUUCCUGUUGCUUCAUGCCUUUUAAAAAGAUCAAUACUGUAUCUUCUCUUUGGUGUGCUUGAGAAUGACAGGAUAAAACCAGCUGAGGUCAGAGAGCAGAACGUUCUUGCUGAAUUAACCAUGACCUGUUGGAAUCCCACUACAUAAUUCGCACACAGCAGAAUGCACCGGAACUCUGUUUUUCUCCCAGGAGAGUGGUCGUUGUGACAGAGGCUCUUGGCUGCCCGGGCCAUCUGCUGGGCAGUUCUCAUGAGGAGAGUGGGUCCGAGCGUCCUCCUUGGGCGGCAGCUUCUGUGCUCUCUGUCCAUGGGCGGCUCCGGUCAGCGAGGAGGUGGAGCUGCCACACUGGACGGAAACUGACUCCAGAAGGCUCCUAACUCCCCUUCGCAGGCGAGAUUCCAUGCCCCGCGGCCACCCCAGCCAAACUUCUGUGCACAUUUGCAAGUUUUGCAGGUUGCCCUUUUCUGACAUGAAGAGAUGAUAAACUCAGAGGUGGGCCCCUCUGCUGCAAAAGGGCUGCGAAGACAUCAAAGACCCAUUCGGCCCCGAGUCUUGCCGUCAGCCUGGCGGACGCUGGGUCUGCUCUUUGAAGAGUGUAUUUGACAUGUUCACUCCACAUUCAUUUAUUCUCCUUCCCUGCAACAUUUUUAAUCAUUGUUCCCUCUUCCUGCUUCAAGCUUAGCGGAGGUCUGACUGAGCAGCAGGAUUCCUGGGUUCUGCCCCUGCAAAGCUGGGUGUGGGUCCCCCCAAGUGGGGGCAGGUGGGGAAGCAGCCCUGGGCACCCAGGAGCGUGUGUCUACCUCUCGGGGGCAGGAACCGGCCCUCCAGAGCCUCACCGAGCACAGGCCUUGGGCACUUUGUCUAGAGGUCACCCUACUCAGCUCCCACAUUUCAGAUGAGGAAAGAGAGGCUCUGAGCGUGUUCCCAGCGUCCUCCUGCCCAUAGACAGAUCAAAUGACAUGACCGGCCUGGCCCUGGGCCACAGCGCAGAAUGUCCGGGGCUGGGGAUUGGGGCUAGGGCUAGGGGUCCACAGAGCAGACUUCUCCCUCUGCCCCAGGUGGAGAGCAAUUUGCCAUGGCCUUCAUUUCUAUCUGCCCCUGAAGUCUACAACUAGAAAUUUCAAAAAAUACCAUGACGGUUUUCUCUUUUAGAAAGUAGUCACUGUGCCCAAGCAGGGAAAUGCCAAGUGGUGGGGACUAAGGCCCACCUCAGGGGCCAGCUGGGGAAAGCAGAGGCUGUGGGGUUCACUGAGACCACCAGGAUGGGCUGGGAGCCUCUCCAGGCCAGGGCACCCACAGCUGCUGGACACUCCUGCCCAGCCCUAGGACUUGCGGGCUCUGGGAACACCCCCUGGGAGCUCUGACCGGCUGGCACUUAGCUGUGCCUGGAGCUGCUGGCACCCUUUAUGGAAGGCAGUUCUGUAACACUGUGCAAUUCUGCAAGGAGGAGGCAGAGACCUGGGGAGUGACGGACCCCCUGGGUCACCCGGCUUCAGGGGGAGUUCCUGGCGUUACCCGGGAACUUUUGUCUGCUGCCUGCUCCUUCUCCUCCCCUCUAGGCUGGCAUGCAGAGCCGUGCCACUUACCGAUGACAUCUACAAAACAAAGGCUUCCGAGCUCUCAAGCGUGAUUAGUUCAGGGCGCUGCGAAUGUAUAGGUACGUGUGCAACGUGACGAUCGAUGCACGGUGUUACGGGUUGAAUCGUGCCCCCCAAAAGUCCUAACCCCUGGUACCUGUGACUGUGACCCUAUAGGAAUUAAGGUCAUUGCAGAUGGAUUGAGUUAUGUUAAAAUGAGAACUGCCACCGAUCCACCAGGACUGGUGUCUGCAUAAAAAGGAGAGGACAGACAGACACCGGGGAGAAGACCAGGGUACAGGGAGGCAGAGACCAAAGUGCUGCAGAUGGAUUUCAAGGACUGCAGGGAGACACCCCAAGUUAGCAAGAGGCAGGGAAGAGGAGGCUCCCCCGCAGGUUUCAGAAGAAGCCCGGCCCUGCUGACACCUUGAUUCCAGAUUUGUAGCUUCCAGAACUGUGGUUUCAAGUCACCACUUUGCGAUACUUUGUUACAGCAGCCCCAGAAACUAAGACUUUGGUCACAUGACCCUUGGCUAUCGCUGAUGAGCCAAUGCUUGCAAGUGAAGCUUGUCUCAUUAAAAUCACUCAUUAUACCGUAUCAACUUACUUCUUUAGACUGUUGAUCGAGAAUAAGAAAAAGAUAGCAAAGCCAGUGACUCUUCAUGAGAAGCAAAAGUGAUAUUGAGACGUUUUUCCUUUUCCCCAAUGCCUGAGAUCUUCAUCAGACAGGGAGAGAGAAAGGAAGUGGAAUUCUUUUAUUAAGAUGCCCUGUCCAUCAUUUGAAUUAAAAGUGGGAAUUUUAACUAAAAAAUUCUCAGUUAUUCCUCUUUGAAACACGGGGUGUUGGCUUCUAGAGAUCCGAGUUUUUUGGCCUUUCAUUCUUGACAUUUGUGUCUAGACAGUUUGCAGAAGGUAAAGCUAUAAACCAAAUUGACCACUACUUGAUACUCCAAGUGGGGUGAGUGACCUUCUCCAAGGACAGGGGCACUCAGGGGCUAACGUGGGCUUUGCUCUUUGGGAUCCCAGGCUAUGGAUAACGCGUCUCUUACACCUUUGAAUUGCCUUCUUCAUAAAUUCCUUGAGGGAAUGGACUUCGGUGAUGAAGAAAUGUCUUAUGUAAUUCAUAAAUAAGAGCACAUACACCACCACGUUGCAUCUUACUACAACCACAGCUGCCUGCAGCCACGGUGGCACUUGGCCACCCUGCAAGCCACUGCCCACACUUUCAGACAUGAAGAUGCCCUUGGAUGGCUGGGAAGUGUGGACCCGACAUCCCGACCAAGGGCUUCCCAGGGGGUAGCUUCCUCCACCCUACAGAUGAGCCUGGAGCAGUCCCCCCAUAUUUCAUUUCUCCCCUUCCCCUCUCUAAUGACAUGACACAAGCAGGGACAGGCAUCUGUACCCAUCUCUACCCACCCCCAUCGCCACAAUGGCCGAUGGCAACUAUGCUUGUCGGAAAUCCAGGCUGUCUGACCACUGGGCCAACAAUGUAACUUACCGGUCAGACAAGGACAUUUCCAAGAGCCAAGGGUGGCACUAAAAAUGUCAUUAUUAUUACAUUGACAUGUAAUGUUUGAAAUAUUUAUUUAUUAACCAACAAAUCAAUCACAUUAUGUUGAUGUAUCCAUAAAAUAGUUCUAUUAACAAACGAGUUUCAGAAAUAAAAUCCUCACUAAAAAGAACAUAUCUGUGUUAAUUAAAACAAAAUAAAAGUAAAAUCCUUUAUAUAGGCUACCUGAAUAUUAUAAAAUAACAUAAGCAGAUUAUUCUUGAAAUAGUCUCAAACUUACUUUAAUCUGUUUCUUAGCUGUUUCUCUCUCCAUAAGAUUUCUUUUUACUCUUUUAUCUUUCUCAUCUUCUAAUAAAAUUGCAAUCUUCAUAUUUUCUUUUUGUGGUUAAUAAAUUUGAAAUUGUAGACACCAUCAAAUGAUUCUUCUCUGCUGACCAUAUAUGUUCAAUUGAUAAAAUAUUCUCUCUAUGGAUACUGAGAUAUCAAGUAAACUCAGCAUAUUUUGCUAAAUAGGAAAUAAUCUCCAUUGUAUUUUUUCAUAUACAAAUGUGAAAGUAUUUGAGGCUAAAUGUUGUCACGGAUUCCAUUCAUAUUCUUUCACUCAGAGUACAUUUCUUCACAUAUUUAUAAUUUGAAACUUGUCAAAUAAAUUUAUCUAUUAUUUAUGAUACUUUCGAAUGUUCCACCUUAUUUAGAUCCUACAAAAUUGUAAGUCAUCUCAAUUUAAUUCCAUUUUGUCAUAGAGUAUAAAUUUAUCCAAUUAAAAUAGGGGCUUUUUCAAAAUAUUUUCUCUAGAACUUGAGACAUACCCAAGCACAGCUAUAGAGUUUUGAAAUCAAAUCUUUACUGGAGCUCUCAUCACUUAACAUGUUCAGUUUCUCCUUUGCUUCUGGUCCAUUUAUAUUUUUUGUAAUAGCUGAUAAAGUUGGUUUUAAUUUAACCAUCUUGCUAUUUUUCUAUUUGCUCCAUCUGAUUUGUGUCCCUCCCUAUUUUUAUUCAGGUCCUUUUUGAUUAUUCCAUUCUAUUGGAUAUAUAGAGAUAUACAUCUUCAUAUUUUUUAUUUUAGUGGUUGCCUAGAGAUUGCAAUAUGCAUGCAUCCUUGAUUUAGCAGCGAUUUUCCACAUCCAAAGCAAUGCAAGUGUGAUUGUCAUGGAGGUGCUCUGUAGGUUCAAGAGAACCUGUUGCAAGGGGCACGGUAGGGGCAGCCUCCAGCUGCUGCACCUGCAGAUGUGCUACAGCAUCGUGCCAGGCCAAGCUCCGCCCCACCCAGGCUGCUCCCACCAGUGAGGGAGCAUGGAGGGAAGGCACAGCUGGCUCAGUCCUGCCCUUCUGGAUGCCUCUGACAGGUAGUCUUUGCUUGGAGAUCCCCACCCACCUGCUGAGAUGGGCAAGACUUUCUUGGAGCUGCACUGCAGCCUGAGGCUCUUCCUGCCCCAUCCUUGCUCCUUCCGUCUCUUCUUUCACAGAUGUUAGACCAGCAUCACAGUCCAGUGAAUUCUUCAUUUUGGAUAUUGUAUACGUCAGUUCUGGAAUGUCUGCUUGAUUUUUUAAAUAGAUCUCAAUUCUUUAUUGAUAUUCUCCAUGUUUUAUUUUGUAACUCUUUUUCUCUAUUUUCUUUAACAUAUUAAUCAUUGCUAUUUAAAGACCUUGUUUGCUAACUCUGAUGUCUGAGUCAUCUGUGAGUCUGAUUUUCUUGUCUGUGGAUAAAACAUUUACAAAGGGAGACACUAUUUUCCUUCAAAGAGUUUAAAUUUUCUAAUGUGCUUUCCUAUAUUUUGACGAUUGUCUUCCUUCCAGUUGCUUUCUGAUGUGGUUUCUCUCCAGUACUCUGAAACAGUUAUUUUUUAAAAUAAUUUGUUUAUCUUUUAUAAUUGUUAUUGGCAGGAGGAUUAAAGCAACAGAGGCUACUUCAUCGUGAUUGAAAACUAAACUCUCCCUUCCUUGCUUUUAGAUAGAUUUCAAUGCCUUCUUGUUCAUGGUUUUGCUUUCAAUAAUUGUACCUGCUAAAAGCUUCAAAAGCUAAAGUUCUUUGGCACUCCAUCCAGUGGAUACUUUAAGGAAAAAUUUUUAAGUGGCUUGUAAAAUUAAAGUGCCAUUAAUAGCACUGUAGAACAUUUAGGUUGAUUUACAGAACUUAUUCUUAAAAUUACAUUUAUUAUGGACAACAGAGAGAAAAAAUGUAUUGCCAUUAUAUGUAUUAUUUAUUCAACAUAAGUUUUAUCACAAAAAUGUUUUAUAAUUUGCUUAUUCUAACUGCAUAUGCAUACAUAUGCAUAUGUGCUCAUAUGUAUAUGUACAUAUAUGAUUGUAAAGUUUGAUGGCUAGAGCUUUAAUUCAGUCGGUUGACUACCAUAGCUUGUUUGACAAAUUUAUGAAUUAUGUUUGUACCAUAACUAACUCCAAAUUACAUUCCUUAGACUUCUUAGUUUAGCGAGUGCAUUGCUCUUACCACAAUUCUGUGUUCCACCAAACUUUGUAUUUAUAUUGUCACUGCAAAACAACUAACUUUAUUUCAAGGCUGUAUUUUUUGACUGAAUGGCAUUCACAAUAAUAUCAGAUGUUUCCCCUUCAAGCGAUUAAUUUUCCAAGGCUUUACUGUGAUUCCUGAAUUAAAUUUUUAAAAAAUUGAAUGUUUUAUUAAAAUUAACUUAAUGGGAUUUUUGUUUGAAGUAUGUGGUAACUCUGACUAAAAAUGAAAACCGCUGGCAUUUUUUAUCUGUUUGAGAAGUCCUUCCACACAUGGAGCCAACACAUUAACCACUUUCGCCCCACUUUUCUUGCAUACCUAUGAAAACUUGGAAUUGAAUAUGAGCAAAAUUAAUUUAGAAGGUGAUCAAAAUGAAAAGUCAUGCUUCACAGAGCAUAUGUAAGUGUACUUUCUGCGUCUGCAUUAUAUUAUGAUUUUGGAGGGCAAAUUUUUUUAUUAAUAAUGAUUAACAUUUUAAAGUAGAUGCUGAUACUUUUUCAGCAGAUUUGUGUCUUCUGAUUUUCGUAAAUUCAGGGUUGUUGUCAUGGCCCCAUGGUGGGUAAAUUCUUGGGCGAAAUGCAUGUUCUGUGUUCAUCAAUUUAUUAAAAAACAAAUGAGUACUUACUUUUAAAAAAAAUCAAGUAUGUACUUUUUAAAACUUACUGUGCUAAAAGGUUUCAUUGCAAAU